Molecule: ribosomal RNA, 496 nt
Filed under: uncultured bacterium
Lineage: Bacteria
Description: partial 16S ribosomal RNA
Rfam family: Bacterial small subunit ribosomal RNA
Source: RNAcentral
AUGAACGCUGGCGGCGUGCCUAAUACAUGCAAGUCGAGCGAACAGACGAGGAGCUUGCUCCUCUGACGUUAGCGGCGGACGGGUGAGUAACACGUGGAUAACCUACCUAUAAGACUGGGAUAACUUCGGGAAACCGGAGCUAAUACCGGAUAAUAUAUUGAACCGCAUGGUUCAAUAGUGAAAGACGGUUUUGCUGUCACUUAUAGAUGGAUCCGCGCCGCAUUAGCUAGUUGGUAAGGUAACGGCUUACCAAGGCGACGAUGCGUAGCCGACCUGAGAGGGUGAUCGGCCACACUGGAACUGAGACACGGUCCAGACUCCUACGGGAGGCAGCAGUAGGGAAUCUUCCGCAAUGGGCGAAAGCCUGACGGAGCAACGCCGCGUGAGUGAUGAAGGUCUUCGGAUCGUAAAACUCUGUUAUUAGUGAAGAACAAAUGUGUAAGUAACUAUGCACGUCUUGACGGUACCUAAUCAGAAAGCCACGGCUAACUACGUG